AAUGAACGCUGGCGGCGUGCCUAACACAUGCAAGUCGAGCGCGAAAGUCUCUUCGGAGAUGAGUAAAGCGGCGGACGGGUGAGUAACACGUGAGAACUUGCCUUUUGGGUGGAGAAUACCUUCGAGAAAUUGAGGUUAAUACUGCAUAAGUCCCUCCGGGAGAAGAUGGCUUUAUGCUAUCGCCAGAAGAUAGGCUUGCGGACUAUUAGCUAGUUGGUGGGGAAAGGCCUACCAAGGCAAUGAUGGUUAACCGGCCUGAGAGGGUGAACGGUCACAUUGGAACUGAGACACGGUCCAAACUCCUACGGGAGGCAGCAGUGAGGAAUAUUGCGCAA
This 335-nucleotide ribosomal RNA is filed under the name uncultured bacterium. Its description in RNAcentral is "bacterial SSU rRNA". It matches the Rfam family "Bacterial small subunit ribosomal RNA", at positions 29 to 371 of the family's 1533-position model. The record is from RNAcentral.